UUGACUCAAAUGAAACAAAUGGUGCUGCCACUGGACAUGAAAUAAUUCAAGUUGAUAUGGAAUUGGAUAGUAAUCAAACAGUUCAAAACCCAUUAUAUUCAAAUCAAUACAACUUUGAAAAAGCUCAGUGGACAGAAGUGAAAAGAAUGAUUGAAAAGUUGAAAUUAGAGAAUAGAGAAACUCUUUAUUGGAAAUCAGAUACAAAUCUUACAGAUAAAAUGCUUGAAGACAGAGCAAAUUUAAUCACUGAGAUUAUUCUUUCAAGUAUAAAGAAAUAUAUUCCAUUGAAAAGAGUCUCUGAAUUCUCUAAGCCUUGGUGGAAUGAUGAG
RNAcentral lists this small RNA (329 nucleotides) under Histoplasma ohiense. Its description in RNAcentral is "hypothetical lncRNA". Lineage: Eukaryota; Fungi; Ascomycota; Eurotiomycetes; Onygenales; Ajellomycetaceae. The record is from RNAcentral.